Molecule: ribosomal RNA, 494 nt
Filed under: uncultured bacterium
Lineage: Bacteria
Description: partial 16S ribosomal RNA
Rfam family: Bacterial small subunit ribosomal RNA
Source: RNAcentral
GACGAACGCUGGCGGCGUGCUUAACACAUGCAAGUCGAACGGAAAGGCCUGCUUUCCCUUGUGGAUUGCGGGUACUCGAGUGGCGAACGGGUGAGUAACACGUGAGUGAUCUGCCCCCAACUUGGGUAUAAGCCUGGGAAACUGGGUCUAAUUCCCGAUAGGACUGCAGGGUGGUGCCUGUGGUGGAAAACGAUUUUCUAGUGGUUGGGGAUGAGCUCGCGGCCUAUCAGCUUGUUGGUGGGGUAAUGGCCUACCAAGGCGGCGACGGGUAGCCGGCCUGAGAGGGUGGACGGCCACAUUGGGACUGAGAUACGGCCCAGACUCCUACGGGAGGCAGCAGUGGGGAAUAUUGCACAAUGGGCGGAAGCCUGAUGCAGCGACACCGCGUGGGGGAUGACGGCCUUCGGGUUGUAAACUCCUUUCGACCGCGAGGAAGCCACCUGGUUGGAAGGGUGGUGACGGUAGUGGUAGAAGAAGCACCGGCUAACUACGUG